RNAcentral lists this ribosomal RNA (508 nucleotides) under uncultured bacterium. Its description in RNAcentral is "partial 16S ribosomal RNA". It matches the Rfam family "Bacterial small subunit ribosomal RNA", at positions 28 to 507 of the family's 1533-position model. The record is from RNAcentral.
GACGAACGCUGGCGGCGUGCCUAAUACAUGCAAGUCGAACGCUUCUUUCCUCUCGAGUGCUUGCACUCAAUUGGAAAGAGGAGUGGCGGACGGGUGAGUAACACGUGGGUAACCUACCCAUCAGAGGGGGAUAACACUUGGAAACAGGUGCUAAUACCGCAUAACAGUUUAUGCCGCAUGGCAUAAGAGUGAAAGGCGCUUUCGGGUGUCGCUGAUGGAUGGGCCCGCGGUGCAUUAGCUAGUUGGUGAGGUAACGGCUCACCAAGGCCACGAUGCAUAGCCGACCUGAGAGGGUGAUCGGCCACACUGGGACUGAGACACGGCCCAGACUCCUACGGGAGGCAGCAGUAGGGAAUCUUCGGCAAUGGACGAAAGUCUGACCGAGCAACGCCGCGUGAGUGAAGAAGGUUUUCGGAUCGUAAAACUCUGUUGUUAGAGAAGAACAAGGACGUUAGUAACUGAACGUCCCCUGACGGUAUCUAACCAGAAAGCCACGGCUAACUACGUG